UGCAAGUCGAGCGAUGAAGUUUCUUCGGAAAUGGAUUAGCGGCGAACGGGUGAGGAACACGUGAAGAAUCUGCCCUCCACUUUGGGAUAACACCGGGAAACCGGUGCUAAUACCGAAUAUUGAAACAUAAGUGGCAUCACUGAGUUUUGAAAGAAUAUCGGUGGAGGAUGACUUCGCGGCCUAUCAGCUAGUUGGUGAGGUAAUGGCUCACCAAGGCAACGACGGGUAGCCGGCCUGAGAGGGCGACCGGCCACACUGGGACUGAGACACGGCCCAGACUCCUACGGGAGGCAGCAGUGGGGAAUAUUGGGCAAUGGAGGAAACUCUGACCCAGCGACGCCGCGUGCGGGAUGAAGGCCUUCGGGUUGUAAACCGCUUUCAGUAGGGAAGAAGCGAAAGUGACGGUACCUACAAAAGAAGCACCGGCUAACUAUGUGCCAGCAGCCGCGGUAAUACAUAGGGUGCAAGCGUUGUCCGGAAUUAUUGGGCGUAAAGAGCUCGUAGGUCGUUUGUUACGUCGGAUGUGAAAACCUGAGGCUCAACCUCAGGCCUGCAUUCGAUACGGGCAAACUAGAGUUUGGUAGGGGAGACUGGAAUUCCUGGUGUAGCGGUGGAAUGCGCAGAUAUCAGGAGGAACACCAAUGGCGAAGGCAGGUCUCUGGGCCAAUACUGACACUGAGGAGCGAAAGUCUGGGGAGCGAACAGGAUUAGAUACCCUGGUAGUCCAGACCGUAAACGGUGGGCACUAGUUGUGGGAACCUUCCACGGUUUCUGCGACGCAGCUAACGCAUUAAGUGCCCCGCCUGGGGAGUACGAUCGC
Molecule: ribosomal RNA, 820 nt
Filed under: uncultured Actinomycetes bacterium
Lineage: Bacteria; Bacillati; Actinomycetota; Actinomycetes
Description: bacterial SSU rRNA
Rfam family: Bacterial small subunit ribosomal RNA
Source: RNAcentral